Molecule: ribosomal RNA, 484 nt
Filed under: uncultured bacterium
Lineage: Bacteria
Description: partial 16S ribosomal RNA
Rfam family: Bacterial small subunit ribosomal RNA
Source: RNAcentral
AUUGAACGCUGGCGGCAGGCCUAACACAUGCCAGUCGAGCGGAUGAAGGGAGCUUGCUCCUGGAUUCAGCGGCGGACGGGUGAGUAAUGCCUAGGAAUCUGCCUGGUAGUGGGGGAUAACGUCCGGAAACGGGCGCUAAUACCGCAUACGUCCUGAGGGAGAAAGUGGGGGAUCUUCGGACCUCACGCUAUCAGAUGAGCCUAGGUCGGAUUAGCUAGUUGGUGGGGUAAAGGCCUACCAAGGCGACGAUCCGUAACUGGUCUGAGAGGAUGAUCAGUCACACUGGAACUGAGACACGGUCCAGACUCCUACGGGAGGCAGCAGUGGGGAAUAUUGGACAAUGGGCGAAAGUCUGAUCCAGCCAUGCCGCGUGUGUGAAGAAGGUCUUCGGAUUGUAAAGCACUUUAAGUUGGGAGGAAGGGCAGUAAGUUAAUACCUUGCUGUUUUGACGUUACCAACAGAAUAAGCACCGGCUAACUUCGUG